UACAGAGGUCCCGAGCGUUAGGCGGAAUCACUGGGCUUAAAGCGUGUGUAGGCGGGUCCGUAAGUGCCUUGUGAAAUCCCACCGCUCAACGGUGGAACUGCUGGGCAUACUGCGGGUCUUGAGCCAGCUAGGGGCGACCGGAACAGACGGUGGAGCGGUGAAAUGCGUAGAUAUCAGGAAGAACACCAAUGGCGAAGGCAGCUCUCUGGGACGGUACUGACGCUGAGACGCGAAAGCGUGGGGAGCGAACAGG
This 253-nucleotide ribosomal RNA is filed under the name uncultured bacterium. RNAcentral describes it as "partial 16S ribosomal RNA". It matches the Rfam family "Bacterial small subunit ribosomal RNA", at positions 524 to 776 of the family's 1533-position model. The record is from RNAcentral.